CUGGGACUCUCUGUUAAGUUUAGCAGCCGCACUCCUCUGAGUCAAGGACCUAGAGCAUGACUAUCUUGCAAAACUGAAUGAUUCAGAGGAAGCAAAUACAUCCUUAUGAACAACUACAUCAUGAUAGUCCUAAGGUCCAUCUACCCCAGUAUGCUGAGACUCUAGUGGUGAUAGGAGAGGCCCAGAAAACAGUGGAAGAGCAGGGCAAGUCAGCUGAGAAGGUCUCCCUGAAUACUCAGCCAGCACUUUUGGUGAUUUGCAGCUCAAAUGAAUGUCUUCAUAUUUAGUAGGCUGAGGAGUCCUGAUCUACUCAAUUAUUCCUCAGAUCGAGAGCAUUCUUGAGACUGGUCGGCUCUGUUGCUCUUCUAUUGGACAUUUUCAGUUCUCCCAGAAUCUUUCAAGAUGGGGAGAUCCCACCACGAAUUUCAAUAGUGACACAUGUGUUACAGGACGCCGGGAGAAGCUUGCACAGCUGUUCGCCCAUCAAACCCCAUUUAUAGGAACACAUUUCAAAGAGCGAAGUGUAGAAAUGGGCAAAUGAAGACUGACACACUGGAUGCUGUUGGGCUACGGGAUGCAUGCAGUACAUGGAGCACCACAGAAGCUUUCUUACUUGAUUUUGCUGCUGAACCAGAGGCCUGAAGUAUAAGCAACCCCUCUGUAUUAGAAAAGAGAGGGUCCAGAAUCGCUGACCGCUCUCAGCUGUGAUAGGGGCAAUGGAGACUUACACUUCUGCCAGCAGGAGCCAGAGCAAUUCCCGCGACUGCUCGCUGCUCUGUCUGAACACCGCGCGGUGGCCGGCAGCCUGCACUCGCUGCUGGCCACGCAGUGUCACACCAGGGAGACAGGGGGUAAGCUCCAUAUCAUAACAGUAGCUGCAAUAAAACAUUUAUUUGGA
Long non-coding RNA from Dromaius novaehollandiae (emu), 898 nucleotides. RefSeq lists it as uncharacterized. The transcript has 3 exons. Lineage: Eukaryota; Metazoa; Chordata; Aves; Casuariiformes; Dromaiidae. The record is from RefSeq and is a predicted model, not a curated record.